This 842-nucleotide long non-coding RNA is filed under the name Coccomyxa subellipsoidea. Its description in RNAcentral is "long non-coding RNA (CSUB_LNC000326)". The record is from RNAcentral. Lineage: Eukaryota; Viridiplantae; Chlorophyta; Trebouxiophyceae; Coccomyxaceae.
CAGGAGCCGAUGCUUACAUGCAGUUGCACUUAAAUGGGCAAAUACCACAAACGCCCAUUGACAAUCCAUCUAGAUGAGUCCCUAAGUGGUUAUAACUGUGAAAAUUACGUUGCAGCAAGCGUUAGAAUUGCAAUGAAACACGAUAGGGUCCUCUAACGGCCCACAACACUCCUUUCACUUAUGCAUGGAUACAAUCGAUGAGUCAUCCCCUCUGGCACGCACACGAGUCCGGAUCAGGCUGAAGCUUUACGCUAGACAAGCGCAGAUAGAUACAAAAGCUGAAAUUUAAGAGAAAGCCGUUUUGCAACUUGGUACACAUGCACCUGUGUGCGCCGCGACUGAGUCGCAAGGCACGUGCACAGAUCCGCUAGGGAUACACUCACAGCCUGGGAAACCACACUGCGUCAAUACUGUACCUUUCACAUGCCCUGCCUAUGACUCACAGCAAUGCAGCAUUCCUCAAUCACCGCACAACACUCUCGGCUCGCGACCAAAAAUGUCAGCCAUUGCAUGGCCUGCAUCACAUGAAAGAAAUACAAUUUCAUGAGGCCUAGCGGCGGAGGACAUCGCCCCAGCACGCGCGCCUGAAACUCAUCUCACCCAGAAUACUUUAUAAUGCGCUGACACUUUCUCCGCAAUCCAACGCCAUGCGCUGCCAAACACGGCUGAGGCAGCAGGUGCUACGAUCUUCUCUCUCUUUUUCCACGUGCACCCGCGAUCAGCCGCUGCAGAUGGCCUCUUCAGAGUACUUAGUGAGCCCUGGCCACUGGGCUGACUGGGCAGGAGUCUAGAGUGGAAUUCCUGGAGCACGUGCGGCUCGCGCUCUCAGCCUGCGCCACCCC